Phrynosoma platyrhinos (Desert horned lizard) is the source of this 72-nucleotide non-coding RNA. NCBI's taxonomy places the organism in Eukaryota, Metazoa, Chordata, Lepidosauria, Squamata, Phrynosomatidae. The record is from the annotation of a GenBank genome assembly.
GCCAGUGUGGCGUAGUGGUUUGAGUGUUGGACUGCAAUUCUGGACACCAAGGUUCAAAUCUUGGCUUGGCCA